This is a non-coding RNA of Suricata suricatta (meerkat), 376 nucleotides long. The record is from the annotation of a RefSeq genome assembly. NCBI's taxonomy places the organism in Eukaryota, Metazoa, Chordata, Mammalia, Carnivora, Herpestidae.
CGAGGUCUCCAUCCAGAAGACAGACAUGCAGAUGCUGUGGUCCCUCCUCUGCCUGCUGACAGCUCCCCUGGGUGUCCUGUCUCAACUUACACUUCGGGAGUCUGGCCCAGGACUGGUGAAGCCUUCACAGACCCUCUCUCUGACCUGCGUUGUCUCCGGGGGCUCUGUCAGCAGCAGUUACUACUGGAACUGGAUCCGCCAGCGCCCUGGAAAAGCGCUGGAGUGGAUGGGGUACUGGACGGGCAGUACCAGCUACAACCCGGCUUUCCAGGGCCGCCUCACCAUCACUGCUGACAUAUCCAAGAACCAGUUCUCCCUGCAGCUGAGCUCCGUGACCGCCGAGGACACGGCCUUGUAUUACUGUGCCAGAAGCACA